This 493-nucleotide ribosomal RNA is filed under the name uncultured bacterium. Its description in RNAcentral is "bacterial SSU rRNA". It matches the Rfam family "Bacterial small subunit ribosomal RNA", at positions 903 to 1397 of the family's 1533-position model. The record is from RNAcentral.
AAAUGAAUAGACGGGGACCCGCACAAGCGGUGGAUGAUGUGGAUUAAUUCGAUGCAACGCGAAAAACCUUACCUACCCUUGACAUGCCAGGAAUGCGCGAGAGAUUGCGCGGUGCCUUCGGGAACCUGGACACAGGUGCUGCAUGGCUGUCGUCAGCUCGUGUCGUGAGAUGUUGGGUUAAGUCCCGCAACGAGCGCAACCCUUGUCAUUAGUUGCCAUCAUUUGGUUGGGCACUUUAAUGAGACUGCCGGUGACAAGCCGGAGGAAGGUGGGGAUGACGUCAAGUCCUCAUGGCCCUUAUGGGUAGGGCUUCACACGUCAUACAAUGGCCGGUACAGAGGGAAGCGAAGCCGCGAGGCGGAGCUGAUCCUUCAAAGCCGGUCGUAGUCCGGAUUGCAGUCUGCAACUCGACUGCAUGAAGUCGGAAUCGCUAGUAAUCGCGGAUCAGCAUGUCGCGGUGAAUACGUUCCCGGGUCUUGUACACACCGCCCGU